This 35-nucleotide ribosomal RNA is filed under the name Coccocarpia sp. Its description in RNAcentral is "partial 28S ribosomal RNA". Lineage: Eukaryota; Fungi; Ascomycota; Lecanoromycetes; Peltigerales; Coccocarpiaceae. The record is from RNAcentral.
ACCUCGGAUCAGGUAAGGAUACCCGCUGAACUUAA